This 317-nucleotide ribosomal RNA is filed under the name Arxiozyma telluris. RNAcentral describes it as "Kazachstania telluris ribosomal RNA". Lineage: Eukaryota; Fungi; Ascomycota; Saccharomycetes; Saccharomycetales; Saccharomycetaceae. The record is from RNAcentral.
GAGAAACAAAACGGUCUCGUGGAGAGCGUGCUGGGGGGAGCCGUUUGGGGGGAGCGCAUGUACUGCGGGCCAGCCAGCGCUUAGUUGCGCGGCGCCUGUGGGUGCUUCACCGGGAGCCCUCUGCUACAAGGCACAUCUUCAUGCAGAACAUACACACAGUGGAGACACGUAUGCACGUUUUUCUGGGUGCAUUGGUGCUUUGGGCUGGCGACAGCCCANAGUGCGGCACGCAAAACACAAACAAAAAUGCAGUGAUGAGACGCAGUCAAAGAAACACACGAGUCUGGUUGGCAGACGAGUGGAUAAACAAAUCUUCA